AACACGUGGGGAACCGUGCCCCACUAGUCUGGGAUACCACUUGGAACAGGUGCUAAUACCGGAUAAGAAAGCGGAUCGCAUGAUCAGCUUUUAAAAGGCGGCGUAAGCUGUCGCUAUGGGAUGGCCCCGCGGUGCAUUAGCUAGUUGGUAAGGUAACGGCUUACCAAGGCAAUGAUGCAUAGCCGAGUUGAGAGACUGAUCGGCCACAUUGGGACUGAGACACGGUCCAAACUCCUACGGGAGGCAGCAGAC
Molecule: ribosomal RNA, 252 nt
Filed under: uncultured Lactobacillus sp.
Lineage: Bacteria; Bacillati; Bacillota; Bacilli; Lactobacillales; Lactobacillaceae
Description: partial 16S ribosomal RNA
Rfam family: Bacterial small subunit ribosomal RNA
Source: RNAcentral